This 450-nucleotide ribosomal RNA is filed under the name uncultured Fibrobacter sp. Its description in RNAcentral is "bacterial SSU rRNA". It matches the Rfam family "Bacterial small subunit ribosomal RNA", at positions 341 to 792 of the family's 1533-position model. The record is from RNAcentral. Lineage: Bacteria; Pseudomonadati; Fibrobacterota; Fibrobacteria; Fibrobacterales; Fibrobacteraceae.
ACGGAAGGCAGCAGUAGGGAAUAUUGCACAAUGGGGGAACCCUGAUGCAGCAACGCCACGUGUGGGAAGAAGCAUUUCGGUGUGUAAACCACUGUCGUGAGGGAAUAAUGUUGCGUUUCGGCGCAAUUGAAUGUACCUCGAAAGGAAGCACCGGCAAACUUCGUGCCAGCAGCCGCGGUAAUACGGGGGGUGCAAGCGUUGUUCGGAAUCACUGGGCGUAAAGGGAGCGUAGGCGGAGGAGCAAGCAGUCUGUACAAUCCCGGGGCCCAACCCCGGCUCUGCAGACUGGAGUGUUUCUCGUGGAUAGUUCAGGGGCAGGCGGAAUUCCUGGUGUAGCGGUGGAAUGCGUAGAGAUCAGGAAGAACACCGAUGGCGAAGGCAGCCUGCUGGGGACUUAUCGACGCUGAGGCUCGAAAGUGCGGGUAGCAAACAGGAUUAGAUACCCUGGUA